AUUGAACGCUGGCGGCAGGCUUAACACAUGCAAGUCGAGCGGGGUGAUGGUGCUUGCACUAUCACUUAGCGGCGGACGGGUGAGUAAUGCUUAGGAAUCUGCCUAUUAGUGGGGGACAACAUCUCGAAAGGGAUGCUAAUACCGCAUACGUCCUACGGGAGAAAGCAGGGGAUCACUUGUGACCUUGCGCUAAUAGAUGAGCCUAAGUCGGAUUAGCUAGUUGGGGGGGUAAAGGCCUACCAAGGCGACGAUCUGUAGCGGGUCUGCGAGGAUGAUCCGCCACACUGGACUGAGACCCGGCCCAGACUCCUACGGGAGGCAGCAGUGGGGAAUAUUGGACAAUGGGGGGAACCCUGAUCCAGCCAUGCCGCGUGUGUGAAGAAGGCCUUAUGGUUGUAAAGCACUUUAAGCGAGGAGGAGGCUCUUUUGGUUAAUACCCAAGAUGAGUGGACGUUACUCGCAGAAUAAGCACCGGCUAACUCUGUGCCAGCCGCCGCAGUAA
This 502-nucleotide ribosomal RNA is filed under the name uncultured bacterium. RNAcentral's name for it is "partial 16S ribosomal RNA". It matches the Rfam family "Bacterial small subunit ribosomal RNA", at positions 30 to 523 of the family's 1533-position model. The record is from RNAcentral.